AAGCGAAGCCGCGAGGCGGAGCGAAUCCCCAAAAGCAGUCUCAGUUCAGAUUGUAGGCUGAAACUCGCCUAUAUGAAGUCGGAAUUGCUAGUAAUCGCGGAUCAGCAUGCCGCGGUGAAUACGUUCCCGGGCCUUGUACACACCGCCCGUCACACCAUGAGAGUCGAUAACACCCGAAGCCUGUAGUCUAACCGCAAGGAGGACGCAGUCGAAGGUGGGAUUGAUAAUUAGGGUGAAGUCGUAACAAGGUAAC
RNAcentral lists this ribosomal RNA (253 nucleotides) under uncultured bacterium. Its description in RNAcentral is "partial 16S ribosomal RNA". It matches the Rfam family "Bacterial small subunit ribosomal RNA", at positions 1247 to 1500 of the family's 1533-position model. The record is from RNAcentral.